GAUGUACUCCCUCCGUCCGGAAAUACUUGUCAUCAAAAUGGAUAAAAAAGGAUGUAUCUAGAACUAAAAUACAUCUAGAUACAUUCCUUUUUUUAUUCAUUUUGAUGACAAGUAUUUUCGGACGAAGAGAGUAAUUU
Molecule: non-coding RNA, 137 nt
Organism: Triticum aestivum (bread wheat)
Lineage: Eukaryota; Viridiplantae; Streptophyta; Magnoliopsida; Poales; Poaceae
Source: Rfam